GCCAAGGCAAUGAUCAAUAGCUGAUUUGAGAGGAUGAUCAGCCACAUCGGGACUGAGACACGGCCCAAACUCCUACGGGAGGCAGCAGUAGGGAAUCUUGCACAAUGGAGGAAACUCUGAUGCAGCGAUGCCGCGUGAGUGAAGAAGGCCCUUGGGUUGUAAAGCUCUUUCGUCGGGGAAGAAAAUGACUGUACCCGAAUAAGAAGGUCCGGCUAACUUCGUGCCAGCAGCCGCGGUAAUACGAAGGGACCUAGCGUAGUUCGGAAUUACUGGGCUUAAAGAGUUCGUAGGUGGUUAAAAAAGUUGGUGGUGAAAGCCCAGAGCUUAACUCUGGAACGGCCAUCAAAACUUUUUAGCUAGAGUAUGAUAGAGGAAAGCAGAAUUUCUAGUGUAGAGGUGAAAUUCGUAGAUAUUAGAAAGAAUACCAAUUGCGAAGGCAGCUUUCUGGAUCAUUACUGACACUGAGGAACGAAAGCAUGGGUAGCGAAGAGGAUUAGAUACCCUCGUAGUCCAUGCCGUAAACGAUGUGUGUUAGAUGUUGGAAAUUUAUUUUCAGUAUCGCAGCGAAAGCAAUAAACACACCGCCUGGGGAGUACGACCGCAAGGUUAAAACUCAAAUGAAUUGACGGGGACCCGCACAAGCAGUGGAGCAUGUGGUUUAAUUCGAAGAUACGCGCAGAACCUUACCAACACUUGACAUGUUCGUCGCGAGACCAAGAGAUUGGUUUCUUCAUUUAGUUGGACGAAACACAGGUGCUGCAUGGCUGUCGUCAGCUCGUGUCGUGAGAUGUUGGGUUAAGUCCCGCAACGAGCGCAACCCUCACUUUUAGUUGCCAUCAUUUAGUUGGGCACUCUGAAAGAACUGCCAGUGAUAAGCUGGAGGAAGGUGGGGAUGACGUCAAGUCCUCAUGGCCCUUACGUGUUGGGCUACACACGUGCUACAAUGGUAUUUACAACAGGAAGCAAAACGGCGACGUUAAGCAAAUCCUCAAAAGAUACCUCAGUUCGGAUUGCACUCUGCAACUCGAGUGCAUGAAGCUGGAAUUACUAGUAAUCGUGGAUCAGCGUGCCACGGUGAAUGCGUUCCCGGGUCUUGUACACACCGCCCGUCACACCAUGGGAGUUGGUUCUACCUUAAGGCAAGGUUUUAAACCCUUGACCACGGUAUAGUCAGCGACUGGGGUGAAGUCGUAACAAGGUAACC
RNAcentral lists this ribosomal RNA (1204 nucleotides) under uncultured bacterium. RNAcentral's name for it is "bacterial SSU rRNA". It matches the Rfam family "Bacterial small subunit ribosomal RNA", at positions 267 to 1501 of the family's 1533-position model. The record is from RNAcentral.